RNAcentral lists this ribosomal RNA (206 nucleotides) under uncultured bacterium. RNAcentral's name for it is "partial 16S ribosomal RNA". It matches the Rfam family "Bacterial small subunit ribosomal RNA", at positions 524 to 729 of the family's 1533-position model. The record is from RNAcentral.
UACAGAGGGUGCGAGCGUUAAUCGGAAUUACUGGGCGUAAAGCGUGCGUAGACGGUUUCGUAAGUUCGGGUGUGAAAGCCCCGGGCUCAACCUGGGAAUUGCAUUCGAGACUGCGUAGCUAGGGUGCGGAAGAGGGAAGCGGAAUUUCCGGUGUAGCGGUGAAAUGCGUAGAUAUCGGAAGAACAUCAGUGGCGAAAGCGGCUUCC